CUUCCCACUGGUCAGCACAGGGAGGGAUCCAGGAAACGAGAGCGGGGCGAGGUGCUGCAGGGCCAGUGUGGCUGACCACGCACACUGCAAAAUGAGGCACGACCAGCGACUGACUUCCACAAAUCCAAUCACCAUUCUCCCCAUGGGAGCAGUUGGGGAGGAUGUAAGCUCAGAGAUGAGCUGGGAUCAAGAAGACCUCCUCCCUGAUGAACACCUCAGCACCAAGAACCUGGAGCCACUUCCUGUGUCCACCUGCAAUUUCUGCCCAGCUUGAGUGCCAGGAGCAGGCCUGGAACAGACACCCCAGUGGGUCAGCCCCACCUGCCUCUUAACGGCUCAUCAGUUAUUGGAUUUCCAUCAUCAGGACCUGUCCCUGAGCCCCCAAGACGGGUGUAAAACAAAACAAACAAGAUAAAAUGUGUACGCAGCCAACCAAAAAGAUGCCAGCAAUUCAAAGGAAGCAGGGCUCUCGCAUCCCCCAGGGAAGCUGGGCUGGAGGCCAAUAAGCCUGGUGCUUUGGACGUCCACUGACAAAGGGAGGAACAGCAUUCUGCAGGCCCCAGGAAAUGCCCCACUAGCUCUUGUUGGCAUCUUCAGGCGCUGCCUCAAAGGGGGACCCGAGCCUUGACCUGCCGCGGAGCGUCCUUUCUCCAGAUCGAUUGGCCCAAAAUCCCACAGACCCUGUUGCCGGGGGC
This 695-nucleotide long non-coding RNA is filed under the name Equus caballus (horse). RNAcentral describes it as "lncRNA (ENSECAG00000046847.1)". Lineage: Eukaryota; Metazoa; Chordata; Mammalia; Perissodactyla; Equidae. The record is from RNAcentral.